GGCCCGUUGGAGAAACGGUUAACUCACAUGCCUUUCACGCAUGCAUUCAAGGGUUCAAAUCCCUUACGGGUCA
Tenericutes bacterium GWF2_38_8 is the source of this 73-nucleotide non-coding RNA. NCBI's taxonomy places the organism in Bacteria, Bacillati, Mycoplasmatota. The record is from Rfam.